GACGAACGCUGGCGGCGUGCUUAACACAUGCAAGUCGAACGGUGAACCUCUUCGGAGGGGAUCAGUGGCGAACGGGUGAGUAACACGUGGGCAACCUGCCCCCGGCUCUGGGAUAACUCCAAGAAAUUGGGGCUAAUACCGGAUGUUCACCGCUUCCCGCAUGGGUGGUGGUGGAAAGGGUUUCCGGCUGGGGAUGGGCCCGCGGCCUAUCAGCUUGUUGGUGGGGUAGUGGCCUACCAAGGCGACGACGGGUAGCCGGCCUGAGAGGGUGACCGGCCACACUGGGACUGAGACACGGCCCAGACUCCUACGGGAGGCAGCAGUGGGGAAUAUUGCGCAAUGGGCGGAAGCCUGACGCAGCGACGCCGCGUGGGGGAAGACGGCCUUCGGGUUGUAAACCUCUUUCAGCAGGGACGAAGCGCAAGUGACGGUACCUGCAGAAGAAGCACCGGCCAACUACGUG
This 463-nucleotide ribosomal RNA is filed under the name uncultured bacterium. RNAcentral describes it as "partial 16S ribosomal RNA". It matches the Rfam family "Bacterial small subunit ribosomal RNA", at positions 28 to 507 of the family's 1533-position model. The record is from RNAcentral.